AUUAUUUAUAUAUGUUUAUUAUUAUUAAUUAUUUAAUUUUUUUUAUUAUUUUUUAAUAAAUCAUUUUAUUGUUUUUGUAUAUAGUUUAUGAUUUAAUUACUUUUAUUUUAGUUUAUUAGUACUUUAUUGGAAUUAUAUAUUUAUUUUUUAUAGUUAAUUUUAUUUGUUGUACCUUGUGUAUCAGGAUGUAUUGAAUUUAUAUAUAUAUAUAUAUUUCUCGAUUUUAUGGGAGUUAAUUAAUUAUUUUGAUUUAUUGUUGUAAACUUAUUUAUAAUAUUUAAUUAGUAAUGAAAUGUUAUUCGUUUAUAAUGGUUUCUAGUUUAUCAAGAAAUAAAUUUAAUUUAUAUAUUUUUUAUAAUUUGUUUUUUUUAAUGAGGUUUUAAUUUAUAUAAUUAUUUAGUGGGAUUAGCUUCUAAAUAUAUUAUUUAUAAUUUAUUUUUGUUUAAAUUUUAUGGGAUUAAUAGUGUCUAUUAUUUUGAUAAGGUAAAAUUUUUGUUUAGUUUUUGUAUUUAUUUAUUGUGAUUUAAAUUUUUUAUUGGUAGAAUCAAUUUAAUUUUUAUUUGUUUAUUAUAAUGAUGUAAUUAGUAUAUUUUUAUAUGUUAAUUGAAUUAUUAUUGUUUAUUUUAUUUAACUAAUUUGGCAAAUAUUUUAUUCGAUUGUUUAUCAAAAACAUUGUUUUUUGUUUAAUAUUGGAAAGUAAUACCUGCCCACUGAUGUUUUAAAUGGCCGCGGUAUUUUGACCGUGCAAAGGUAGCAUAAUAAUUAGUUUUUUUAUUGAGGACUGGAAUGAAUGGUUAAACGAGAUAUAGUCUGUUUCUUUUAUAAGUUUAGUUGAAGUUGAUUAUUGAGUUAAAAGGCUUAAAUUUUGUUAUGGGACGAGAAGACCCUAUAGAGUUUUACAUAAUUAUUUUUAUUUUUGUUAGUAAUUAAUUUUAAUUAUAUUUUUGUUUUAUUGGGGUGAUAGAAAGAUAAUUUUAACUCUUUUUUUAUUAAAUAUUUAUUUAUAGUUAUUUGAUCCAUUAUUAUUGAUUAUAAUACUAAAUUACCUUAGGGAUAACAGCGUUAUUUUUUUUGAGAGUUCAUAUUGACAUUAAAGAUUGCGACCUCGAUGUUGGAUUAAAAUUAAUUUUGGGUGUAGAAGCUUAAGUUAUUAAGUCUGUUCGACUUUUGAAAUUUUACAUGAUCUGAGUUCAAACCGGUGUAAGCCAGGUUGGUUUCUAUCUAUAAUUUUAUCUUAAAUGUUUUAGUACGAAAGGACCAAAUAUUUUAAAUAAUUUUUAUUAUAUAUAUAUAUUUAAU
RNAcentral lists this ribosomal RNA (1299 nucleotides) under Allacta bruna. Its description in RNAcentral is "16S ribosomal RNA". The stretch from base 1053 to 1212 matches the Rfam family "Archaeal large subunit ribosomal RNA", at positions 2542 to 2701 of the family's 2987-position model. The record is from RNAcentral. Lineage: Eukaryota; Metazoa; Arthropoda; Insecta; Blattodea; Pseudophyllodromiidae.